ACGAAGACAUACCGACGGAAUCCUUCGGGAGGAAGAUGGUAUGGACUGAGUGGCGGACGGGUGAGUAACGCGUGGGUAACCUGCCCUGUACAGGGGGACAACAGUUAGAAAUGACUGCUAAUACCGCAUAAGCGCACAGUACCGCAUGGUACAGUGCGAAAAACUCCGGUGGUACAGGAUGGGCCCGCGUCUGAUUAGUUAGUUGGCGGGGUAACGGCCCACCAAGACGACGAUCAGUAGCUGGCUUGAGAGAGUGAACGGCCACAUUGGGACUGAGACACGGCCCAAACUCCUACGGGAGGCAGCAGUGGGGAAUAUUGCACAAUGGGGGAAACCCUGAUGCAGCAACGCCGCGUGAGUGAAGAAGUAUUUCGGUAUGUAAAGCUCUAUCAGCAGGGAAGAAAAUGACGGUACCUGACUAAGAAGCCCCGGCUAACUACGUGCCAGCAGCCGCGGUAAUACGUAGGGGGCAAGCGUUAUCCGGAUUUACUGGGUGUAAAGGGAGCGCAGGCGGUGCGGCAAGUCAGAUGUGAAAACCCGGGGCUCAACCCCGGGACUGCAUUUGAAACUGUCGGACUAGAGUGCCGGAGAGGUAAGUGGAAUUCUAGUAUAGCGGUGAAAUGCGUAGAUAUUAGG
Molecule: ribosomal RNA, 636 nt
Filed under: uncultured Lachnospiraceae bacterium
Lineage: Bacteria; Bacillati; Bacillota; Clostridia; Lachnospirales; Lachnospiraceae
Description: bacterial SSU rRNA
Rfam family: Bacterial small subunit ribosomal RNA
Source: RNAcentral